GCGCGGGGCGGGCCAUAGGGGACGGCGCCGCGGAGGCGACAGGCUCCAGGCCGGGCCGAAGUUCUGGUUCCGCUGAGCGCCCCGCCCCGCGCCCAGGUUAACAUUACAUGGAGGUUCCACCAAGAGCCAGAGAAGACCCUUGACAACUCUGAGGCUGGGGAGCGAACAGGUGCUGGUACCCACAGAGCCCAGUGAGCUCACUGCUUUCUCAACGACCCUGGAGUUUGAGGGCCUGUGCGUGCACCCCACCUCGGCACAGCCAUGGCCGGGGUCAGCAUCAACGAGCUGCCCGAGAGCAUCCUGCUGGAGGUGUUCAUGCACCUGCCCGCCCGCCAGCUGCUGCUGAACUGCCGCCCUGUCUGCAGUCUCUGGCGCGACAUCAUUGACCUCGUGACCCUCUGGAAGCGAAAAUGCCUGCGUGAGGGCUUCGUCACCGAGGACUGGGACCAGCCCGUGGCCGACUGGAAGGUCUUUUUCUUUCUGUGCAGCCUUCGCAGGAACCUCCUGCGCAACCCAUGUGCUGAAGAGGAUAUGACGUCCUGGCAAAUCGACUCCAAUGGGGGGGACCACUGGAAGGUGGAGCGCCUCCCCGGACCUCAUGGCACAGAGUUUCCUGACUCCAAAGUCAAGAAGUACUUUGUCACGUCCUAUGAAAUGUGUCUCAAGUCCCAGCUGAUAGACCUCAAAGCCGAGGGCUACUGGGAGGAGCUACUGGACACCUUCCGGCCGGACAUCGUGGUUAAGGACUGGUUCGCCGCCAGGGCAGACUGUGGCUGCACCUACCACAUCCGAGUACAGCUGGCCUCGGCCGACUACAUCAUCCUAGCCUCCUUUGAGCCCCCGCCUGUGACCAUCCAUCAGUGGAACGAUGCCAGGUGGACAGAGGUCUCCCACACCUUCUCGGAUUACCCUCCAGGUGUCCGCCACAUCCUCUUCCAGCACGGGGGCAAGGACACCCAGUUCUGGGCAGGCUGGUACGGGCCCCGUGUCACCAACAGCAGCAUCGUCAUCAGCCAUAAGAUGACCAGGAACCCGGCCCCCUCCACGGCUCACCCCUAGACCCUGCAGGGGCCGGAGGAGGCUACCCACCUGCCUUCCCCACUCCAUCUCCACAGGCCCUUCUGACAGCCUGUCAUCUGACAGCCAUUCAUCCGUCCUCUGUCCCGGCCAGUGGAGUGCCAAAGGUUGCCUCCAGGCAAGAGCUGAGCCUAUAGUGGGCAGCAAGUCCCUCCGCGGCCCUCAGACUUCAGGGAGCAUCCGAAUCGCCAGGGAACCGCUGGCAGUGCCGAUUCCCAGGUUCGUCCACCAGACAGGCUGAGACUGGAGACCCAAGGUGGGCUGGGAACCCAAGUGAUUUAACAAGCCCCAAACACCAGUUGUGAAAUUGGAUCAAGGAUCCCCUCUCUUGAGAACCCCACUGAGCUGCGCCCUCCUCUCAGCACCGAGAGCCCAGGUGGGGCGAUGACAGGCAGGUGGCCACAGGGCUGACACACAAUGAGAGCCUACUGUGUGCCAGGUGCUGCCUCCAGCAACACCCCUGCUGGUCAGAGCUCUGGUUUUCAGAGCAUCCUGGCUAUCUUGCCUCCCCGCCCACCCUUCCACACCAGCCUCAUCUCACCUUGAUGACUUGGAUCUUCUCCAUGUUGCGAGUGGCAGCUUCUCUCGUGUGCACUAAGACUGUGAAGGUGCAGCCUAAAGAGGCAAGAGUUUGGUCAAGACUGGGCUACCCCAUGCCUGCCUCGGGACACAGCUUCCUCCCACCUCCCUAGCUGGCUCAGCAGCCCCACAGCACAGUGUUAACCAAGUACUAAGACAAGACAGUCAACAGGAAGACUGAAGCCAGUUGGAGUCAAUCAGGGAAGCUUCCUGGAGAGGGUGGGCUUUUGGAGCAGUUACAAAAGGCAGAAAGAAAGAGAGGAGACUUGGUGCAGACAAAUAGGGACCUGAGGACACAGACCAACACAAGUAGCCAUGGAAACACCCAGAGAAGAGGGGGUGGGGUGUGAGCAUACCAGGGGGGUUGUGGUCCAGGACAGCAUCACAUACACUGAUCUUCAGGAUGAAGGCCCGGAGCAGCUGCUCCACGUGAGACAGCAGGGAGUCUGAGCUGGGAAGGAGAGAGGAAGAGGGUCUCCCAGCACACGGGUGGCCCCCCUCCCACCAGCAGGCAGUCAACCCUGGAAGCAGCCCUCGGGUGCAGAGUCCCCUCCGCCUGGUAUUUUUGAGGGCUUGGCUACCUAUCUCUACACAGCUAAAGCAUCUGGGGAGUUUAAAACCAAUGCUAAGUACCAUCACAGACAAAUUAAGUCAGAAUGGUGGGCAAAGGGUGUAGGGAACCCCAGUAGGUGGUUGUAACGUGCAGCCGGGUCUGAGAACCAGGACACAGCCCAAACUUCAUACUCUAGGACACCAAGCUGGGAAGGGAGAGGGCUUGCCCAAGGCCACAUAGCAAGUGGGGACAGAUUCCAGUGCUCUGACCUCAUCACAGGAAGCCGGUAGCUGACCAGCCCAACACACCCGUCCAAAGUCAACUUCAAGUUGACUGUGGACUGGAUGCUUGACUGGGAAGUCAGGAACCGGGUCUGUGUCCUGGCUUUGCCACCAUUUGGGUGACCAGGUCAAGGUCAUCUCUCUGACCUUGGUUUCUCCAUCUACAAAAUGAGGUUGGGACUAGCCAUUUGCCAAUGCUGUGAUUUUCAAGGUUUGAUACAGGAGGGUCUCUUUGUAACCUGUGUGACGUUCACAGAGACUUGGGGGCGGCCGGCUGCAACUCCGCCACUAAUAGCCUUGUUAGGUCAGCACACCUUGCCAUGUCUCCUCUCAGACCUUUAGCAAGGCAGUUAGUGGCUACCGGAAAGGGGUGAGGGUCAGGGGUAUAGCUAGGGACCUCACACCAGCUGGCACAUGGACGGGGAGAGAGGCAGCUCACCUGAUGGACAGCAGCGGAGGCUGUGUGAUUUCAAAGACAAAUUUCUCCACUGGGCGGUGUUCUUUGUCCAAAAUUACCACCACUACCUUCUCCACAUCAUUCUGCAAGGACAGGAACCCCCCACUCCAGAACAGGACACCCCUCUACCACCACCACCACUCCCUCCCUACCCAGGGAAGGAUGGGAUAGGGGCAGUCGCAGCCCUGUUCAGCCUCUAGGCCCAGAGUUCCUCACAGCCCAGAAAGAGGUUUGAGAAGUUGAAGUAGGCACCCCCAGAAAUGAAUGGUACAGGCAGAGAGGAGAGGAUGCCUGGGCCCCGUGGGGAUACCAGGACAUCUCAGAGAGAAGAACAAGAUAGAAGGAAGAAGCACUGAGCGGCUAAGCUGAGACAGAACUUGGGGAUGGAGGAAGAGAGUGCCUGAGAAGAACCCAGAAUCCUCCAGGGCAGGCCCCACCUGGGGAGCCAAUUCCACUAUUGGGGUGGGGCUCCAGGCCAAGAUGCCCUGAAUGUGUCCCCAUGCCCUGGGCCCUGAGCAGGAGUGGUCUCUAAAGUGCAGGGGACAACAGGCUUCUGGGUGUUAGAGACAUAGGGACGCUGCAUGGUCCCAGCAUCACCCCAUCCUGGAGGAUGGGGGAGCACUGUGGGUGAUGUGGGCCAGGGGGUCCGGUGCCCUCACCUUCUCCAGGAGCGGCUUGACGCAGUGCAGCGUGUCCUGGAUAUACUGGUUCAGCUCCGGGUGACAGGACAUCUGCAUACAACCCCAUGACGGCUGGUGAGGCAGGAUGGGGAAACAACCCCACACUCCCUCCAGCAGCGCAAAGCCCCUUCUGCCUUUAGAGAAAGGCCCAUCAGUUCCCUCAGGCUCCCCACCCGGGACAGACUACCCAUCAUGAGGCCAAGAACUGGAUUAUCCCCAGAGGAAGAGAAGUUAGGAGAUCUUAAGAAUUCAGUCUCAACAUUAGCACUUCAUACAGCAUCAGGAGUUCAUUGAGCUCCUCCAGAGUCUAGAAGUCCCUAAAUUGUAUUUGGGCAAACAGGCAUUUUUCCAGAGAAGGGAUCCAGAAAUUUAAUCAAUUUUCAAACAUUAAGAAUCUGGAACUAAGAAGCUGUGUGCCCUCAGGCUUAACCUCUCUGAGCUUUACUUACUUCACCUGCUGAAGAUUUCAUUAAAAAGUAAGGAUUAAAUGCGAUAAGUACCUAGUACACAGUGGG
Camelus dromedarius (Arabian camel) is the source of this 4142-nucleotide RNA transcript. It is a transcript of the gene named F-box only protein 6, with no coding region annotated. NCBI's taxonomy places the organism in Eukaryota, Metazoa, Chordata, Mammalia, Artiodactyla, Camelidae. The transcript has 8 exons. The record is from RefSeq and is a predicted model, not a curated record.